RNAcentral lists this ribosomal RNA (879 nucleotides) under Colletotrichum hippeastri. RNAcentral describes it as "LSU rRNA". It matches the Rfam family "Eukaryotic large subunit ribosomal RNA", at positions 41 to 951 of the family's 3401-position model. The record is from RNAcentral. Lineage: Eukaryota; Fungi; Ascomycota; Sordariomycetes; Glomerellales; Glomerellaceae.
UAUCAAUAAGCGGAGGAAAAGAAACCAACAGGGAUUGCCCCAGUAACGGCGAGUGAAGCGGCAACAGCUCAAAUUUGAAAUCUGGCCCCAGGCCCGAGUUGUAAUUUGCAGAGGAUGCUUUUGGCGAGGUGCCUUCCGAGUUCCCUGGAACGGGACGCCAUAGAGGGUGAGAGCCCCGUACGGUUGGACACCAAGUCUUUGUAAAGCUCCUUCGACGAGUCGAGUAGUUUGGGAAUGCUGCUCAAAAUGGGAGGUAUAUUUCUUCUAAAGCUAAAUAUUGGCCAGAGACCGAUAGCGCACAAGUAGAGUGAUCGAAAGAUGAAAAGCACUUUGAAAAGAGGGUUAAACAGCACGUGAAAUUGUUAAAAGGGAAGCGCUUAUGACCAGACUUGCGCCCGGUGAAUCACCCAGCUCUCGCGGCUGGGGCACUUUGCCGGCUCAGGCCAGCAUCAGCUCGCUGUCGGGGACAAAAGCUUCGGGAACGUAGCUCUCUUCGGGGAGUGUUAUAGCCCGUUGCAUAAUACCCUUCGGCGGGCUGAGGUACGCGCUCCGCAAGGAUGCUGGCGUAAUGGUCAUCAGCGACCCGUCUUGAAACACGGACCAAGGAGUCAACCUUAUGUGCGAGUGUUUGGGUGUUAAACCCCUACGCGUAAUGAAAGUGAACGCAGGUGAGAGCUUCGGCGCAUCAUCGACCGAUCCUGAUGUUCUCGGAUGGAUUUGAGUAAGAGCAUAUAGGGUUGGACCCGAAAGAAGGUGAACUAUGCGUGUAUAGGGUGAAGCCAGAGGAAACUCUGGUGGAGGCUCGCAGCGGUUCUGACGUGCAAAUCGAUCGUCAAAUAUGCGCAUGGGGGCGAAAGACUAAUCGAACCUUCUAGUAGC